AUACGUAGGUGACAAGCGUUAUCCGGAUUUACUGGGCGUAAAGGGCGUGUAGGCGGUCUUGCAAGUCAGAAGUGAAAUUCCUGAGCUCAACUCGGGCGCUGCUUCUGAAACUGCAGGACUUGAGUGCUGGAGGGGAUAGCGGAAUUCCUAGUGGAGCGGUAAAAUGCGCAGAUAUUAGGAAGAACACCGGUGGCGAAGGCGGCUAUCUGGACAGUAACUGACGCUGAGGCGCGAAAGCGUGGGGAGCAACCAGGAUUAGAUCCCCUGGUAGUCCACGCCGUAAACGAUGAAUACUAGGUGUAGGGGGUAUCGACUCCCUCUGUGCCGCAGUUAACACAAUAAGUAUUCCGCCUGGGGAGUACGGCCGCAAGGUUGAAACUCAAAUGAAUUGACGGGG
Molecule: ribosomal RNA, 397 nt
Filed under: uncultured bacterium
Lineage: Bacteria
Description: partial 16S ribosomal RNA
Rfam family: Bacterial small subunit ribosomal RNA
Source: RNAcentral